This 99-nucleotide non-coding RNA is filed under the name Nitrosomonas mobilis. RNAcentral's name for it is "Glycine". It matches the Rfam family "Glycine riboswitch aptamer". From Rfam's summary of the family: This family represents the bacterial glycine riboswitch. The record is from RNAcentral. Lineage: Bacteria; Pseudomonadati; Pseudomonadota; Betaproteobacteria; Nitrosomonadales; Nitrosomonadaceae.
GCAAUCUGGAGAGCGCUGAGUGAAUGUAUCAGCCACCGAAGGGGCACUCGGGAAGUGAUUUCCGAUAAAACUCUCAGGUAAAUGGACAGAGGGGAAUGG